This 523-nucleotide ribosomal RNA is filed under the name uncultured soil bacterium. Its description in RNAcentral is "bacterial SSU rRNA". It matches the Rfam family "Bacterial small subunit ribosomal RNA", at positions 26 to 533 of the family's 1533-position model. The record is from RNAcentral.
AGGACGAACGCUGGCGGCGCGCUUAACACAUGCAAGUCGAGCGAGAACCGGACCUUCGGGUCCGGGGACAGCGGCGAACGGGUGAGUAACACGUGGGUAAUCUGCCCUCGAUUCUGGGAUAGCCCGGGGAAACCCGGAUUAAUACCGGAUAGCCUCUUGAGCCUUCGGGCUCUCGAGAAAAGGUAGCUUCGGCCUCCGAUCGAGGAUGAGCCCGCGGUGGAUUAGCUUGUUGGUGGGGUAAUGGCCCACCAAGGCGACGAUCCAUAGCUGGUCUGAGAGGACGAUCAGCCACACUGGGACUGAGACACGGCCCAGACUCCUACGGGAGGCAGCAGGUGGGGAAUCUUGCGCAAGUGGGACGAAAGCCUGACGCAGCGACGCCGCGUGGGAAGAAGGCCUUAGGGUGUAAACCUCUUCAGCGAGGACGAAGCCACGUCGGUUAAUAGCCCAGGAGGUGACGGUACCUGCAGAAGACGCCCCGGAUAACCUACGUGACCGAGCCGAGCCGCGGUAAUCGUAGAGG